RNAcentral lists this ribosomal RNA (331 nucleotides) under uncultured eukaryote. Its description in RNAcentral is "partial 18S ribosomal RNA". It matches the Rfam family "Eukaryotic small subunit ribosomal RNA", at positions 1470 to 1796 of the family's 1831-position model. The record is from RNAcentral.
CCCUUAGAUGUUCUGGGCCGCACGCGCGCUACACUGACGAAGUCAGCGAGCAUCUCCUUCGCCGAAAGGUGCGGGGAAUCUUGUGAAACUUUGUCGUGCUGGGGAUUGAUUUUUGAAAUUCUUGAUCAUCAACGAGGAAUUCCUAGUAAGCGCAAGUCAGCAGCUUGCGUUGAUUACGUCCCUGCCCUUUGUACACACCGCCCGUCGCUACUACCGAUUGAAUGGUUUAGUGAGAUCCUUGGAUCGGCCCUGUCGCGGCUGGCAACGGCCGCGUCGGCGCGUCGAGAAGACGAUCAAACUUGAUCAUUUAGAGGAAGUAAAAGUCGUAACA